Molecule: ribosomal RNA, 460 nt
Filed under: uncultured bacterium
Lineage: Bacteria
Description: partial 16S ribosomal RNA
Rfam family: Bacterial small subunit ribosomal RNA
Source: RNAcentral
CCUACGGGAGGCAGCAGUGAGGAAUAUUGGUCAAUGGGCGCGAGCCUGAACCAGCCAAGUCGCGUGAGGGAAGACGGCCCUACGGGUUGUAAACCUCUUUUGCCGGGGAGCAACGGGCGCCACGUGUGGCGCCACUGAGGGUACCCGGAGAAAAAGCAUCGGCUAACUCCGUGCCAGCAGCCGCGGUAAUACGGAGGAUGCGAGCGUUAUCCGGAUUCAUUGGGUUUAAAGGGUGCGCAGGCGGGCCUUUAAGCCGGCGGUGAAAUCGCGGGGCUCAACCCCGCCGAGCCGUCGGAACUGGGGGCCUUGAGUGCGGCGGAGGCAUGCGGAAUGCGCGGUGUAGCGGUGAAAUGCAUAGAUAUCGCGCAGAACCCCGAUUGCGAAGGCAGCGUGCCGUGCCGCCACUGACGCUGAGGCACGAAAGCGCGGGGAUCGAACAGGAUUAGAUACCCCUGUAGUC